This 38-nucleotide small RNA is filed under the name Plasmodium falciparum 3D7. RNAcentral describes it as "Pfa-npcR6991". The record is from RNAcentral. Lineage: Eukaryota; Apicomplexa; Aconoidasida; Haemosporida; Plasmodiidae.
AGAAUGAUGGAAAUAUGUGAAUAAAUAUUACAUCCUUA